RNAcentral lists this long non-coding RNA (529 nucleotides) under Ananas comosus (pineapple). RNAcentral describes it as "long non-coding RNA (ACOM_LNC041292)". The record is from RNAcentral. Lineage: Eukaryota; Viridiplantae; Streptophyta; Magnoliopsida; Poales; Bromeliaceae.
UUAUCACAAUGGGCUUACAACCUUCCAAUGGAAAUCCCUUCUUGCUACACCUUCUUUGAAGCACCUUCCGAUUCCGCGAAUCCCGCUUCGGAAUACUUCUUAGAAUUCCUCCAAUCUACCUUGGAAGUCUUUGAAUCAAGCAAGAAGAACAAAAGAGCUCCUUCUCCAACCCUCUCUACACCUCUAUUCUCUAUUACAAGAAAAGGGAAAACCUAGAGAGCAAAAAUAAGAACACACUCUCUCUAACCCAAAGAGUUCUCUCUUAACUCCACUUGGCCCAACAUACCAAAUGGGUCAACUAAAGCCCAUAUCAAAUACUAACUAGCCCAUUACAUGAGUUGUUGAACCAAACCCAAAAUAAAACCAAUUAGGCUAAUAAGUGAAUUUGAUAUCACUAACCCAACAAAUCGCAAGCAGCUUUUACAUAAGAGUUAGAAACAACAUAGGUUUUACAAAAGCCCAAAAUAAGUGAAUUUUUUAUGCAAAUUGGCCUUAAUAAUAAGAACAGUAACAUCGAACACUGAUAAUU